AGAGGUUCUAGCUACACCCUCUAUAAAAAACUAA
RNAcentral lists this unclassified non-coding RNA (34 nucleotides) under synthetic construct. The record is from Rfam by way of RNAcentral.